This 465-nucleotide ribosomal RNA is filed under the name uncultured bacterium. RNAcentral's name for it is "partial 16S ribosomal RNA". It matches the Rfam family "Bacterial small subunit ribosomal RNA", at positions 28 to 507 of the family's 1533-position model. The record is from RNAcentral.
GACGAACGCUGGCGGCGUGCUUAACACACGCAAGUCGAACGGAAAGGCCCUGCUUGCAGGGUACUCGAGUGGCGAACGGGUGAGUAACACGUGGGUGAUCUGCCCUGCACUUCGGGAUAAGCCUGGGAAACUGGGUCUAAUACCGGAUAGGAGCCAUUUUUAGUGUGAUGGUUGGAAAGUUUUUUCGGUGUAGGAUGAGCUCGCGGCCUAUCAGCUUGUUGGUGGGGUAAUGGCCUACCAAGGCGGCGACGGGUAGCCGGCCUGAGAGGGUGGACGGCCACAUUGGGACUGAGAUACGGCCCAGACUCCUACGGGAGGCAGCAGUGGGGAAUAUUGCACAAUGGGCGCAGGCCUGAUGCAGCGACGCCGCGUGGGGGAUGACGGCCUUCGGGUUGUAAACUCCUUUCGCUAGGGACGAAGCUUUUUGUGACGGUACCUAGAUAAGAAGCACCGGCUAACUACGUG